GUGCCAGCAGCCGCGGUAAUACGAAUGGGGCAAGCGUUGUUCGGAUUUACUGGGCGUAAAGCGGGCGUAGGCGGCCGGCUAAGUCGGAUGUGAAAUCCCGGGGCUCAACUCCGGAACUGCAUUCGAUACUGGUCGGCUAGAGUUCGAGAGGGGGAUGCGGAAUUCCGCGUGUAGCAGUGAAAUGCGUAGAUAUGCGGAGGAACACCUGAGGCGAAGGCGGCCGACUGGAACUGACCUGACGCUGAGGGACGAAAGCCAGGGGAGCGAACCGGAUUAGAUACCCGGGUAGUCCUGGCCGUAAACGAUGGAUGCUAGAUGUGGGCGGGGAGACCCGUCCGUGUCGCAAGCUAACGCGUUAAGCAUCCCGCCUGGGGAGUACGGCCGCAAGGUUGAAACUUAAAUGAAUUGCCGGGG
This 414-nucleotide ribosomal RNA is filed under the name uncultured prokaryote. RNAcentral's name for it is "bacterial SSU rRNA". It matches the Rfam family "Bacterial small subunit ribosomal RNA", at positions 505 to 918 of the family's 1533-position model. The record is from RNAcentral.